UCCUACGGGAGGCAGCAGUGGGGAAUUUUGGACAAUGGGCGCAAGCCUGAUCCAGCCAUGCCGCGUGAGUGAAGAAGGCCUUCGGGUUGUAAAGCUCUUUCAGGUGGAAAGAAAUCGCACCUUUUAAUACAGGGUGUGGAUGACGGUACCAUCAGAAGAAGCACCGGCUAACUACGUGCCAGCAGCCGCGGUAAUACGUAGGGUGCGAGCGUUAAUCGGAAUUACUGGGCGUAAAGCGUGCGCAGGCGGUUAUGUAAGACAGAUGUGAAAUCCCCGGGCUCAACCUGGGAACUGCGUUUGUGACUGCAUAACUAGAGUACGGCAGAGGGAGGUGGAAUUCCGCGUGUAGCAGUGAAAUGCGUAGAGAUGCGGAGGAACACCGAUGGCGAAGGCAGCCUCCUGGGCCAGUACUGACGCUCAUGCACGAAAGCGUGGGGAGCAAACAGGAUUAGAUACCCUGGUAGUCCACGCCCUAAACGAUGUCAACUAGUUGUUCGGUGAGGAGACUCAUUGAGUAACGCAGCUAACGCGUGAAGUUGACCGCCUGGGGAGUACGGCCGCAAGGUUAAAACUCAAAGGAAUUGACGG
Molecule: ribosomal RNA, 588 nt
Filed under: uncultured Zoogloea sp.
Lineage: Bacteria; Pseudomonadati; Pseudomonadota; Betaproteobacteria; Rhodocyclales; Zoogloeaceae
Description: bacterial SSU rRNA
Rfam family: Bacterial small subunit ribosomal RNA
Source: RNAcentral